Molecule: long non-coding RNA, 1146 nt
Organism: Panthera uncia (snow leopard)
Lineage: Eukaryota; Metazoa; Chordata; Mammalia; Carnivora; Felidae
Exons: 5
Source: RefSeq, a predicted model, not a curated record
GCAUGUGAAGUGCAUUGCACAAAGCCUUCAUAUAAAAGGGAGUUAUCUUCAAGUCUCAGCUAUCCCUUUAACAAGGCUCACUCUGCUUUUCUCUUUUUCCAAGGAAAAACACACGUUGUAAAAUAAGCAUUCUUCAAAGACAACCUGAAGACGUCUGGGAAUUCCAAAGGCUGAAAACUCCAUGAGUUCAUAGAAGCUUUCACUAAUUCCACAGAUUUAAAGACAAAAGAGAGUCAACUGUGUGCCCAAACUCAUUUCUGAUGAUUUCUUCCAUCCUACCCUUUCUGCCUCUCUGGGGGUGGCUGUGCCUGUAAAAAACAUUGAAGUUGUCAGGAACAGAGUCUGCUUUCAAGACUGGAAUGUCAGAGUAGAGACUUCUGUUCCUCAGACCAGAAGAGACUUGAUUUGCUACUGAAGAAACCACCUACCAUAAACAAUUAGAAAACUGAAAACAUCUAUGUAUUACCACUGUUUCCAGACCAUGGACUACAGACAGCACAAGACUAUGAUCCCUAAGAAAAAGAAAACAGAUGAGAUUUGUAUUCUCUGAUGUCUCCCCUUUCCUACACUUGGUGCUUCUCUGAUUUAAUUGUUUGGAAGCAGUCACUGGAAGCAAGGCUAUGUGACUCAGCUUUGGUGAUGCAGUCCAGCUGGGGUCUGACAGUCUGAAAUUGUGGCGCACACACCUUUGCUCCGAGCAGAGUCCCCACCACAGCUAUGAAUGUGGGGGUCUGGGAGAGAAACACCCUCUUUUGUCAGAAUGAGCACAACCCUGAAGAAAACAUCACAACCCCGAAGAAAAUUACCGACGUCUUAAGGAAAUGGUUCUGACUGAGGUCUUCCAACAUGCAAUACUAUGUGCUGACUCAGGGAAAACUUAAGGCAACAUGCUGAAAACAUUUAGAGGCCCGGAAAAUAACUGGUUUAAUAAUUCAAGAUGCUUUUAAGUUACAAAAAGAAUACUUAAAAACAAAUAAACCUCCCUUUCCAAAAGCCGUGUCGUAGAGUCGGCCACUCUUGAAAUGAAAAAAACAGAGCUUGCCAUCAAAUGCAAAUUCAGCCUCUGAAACUCCUCAACAAUGGACAAAGAACCUCCAUACCCCACACCCCUAAUCGACAGAUGGAAAUAAAUGUCUGUUUCAGGAC